Molecule: transfer RNA, 66 nt
Filed under: Alobaldia tobae
Lineage: Eukaryota; Metazoa; Arthropoda; Insecta; Hemiptera; Cicadellidae
Description: tRNA-Phe
Source: RNAcentral
GUUUCUAUAGCUUAUAUAGAGUUUUUCAGUGAAGUUGAAAAGGAAUAUUUUUUUUAUUGGAAAUAU